GAACAAUGUCUGGAAAAUGGUCAAUCUCACUAAGGCAGACGAAGGAUUCUACUUGUUUGUUCGUGAAGACAAAAAAGUUGAGCUAACGAUAAAGCUAUCUAUAAAAGAAGAAACCCAGGAUUAUAAACUGAAGUGAAUGAGAGCCUCUUCAUUAAAUUUCCUGAGCGUGGAGGACCUUGGGAUGUGGUGUUCAAGUCAAAAAAUAAACAAACAGAGGGUGAUGAUCAAAAAUCAACUAGUUUUGGAAGGCACUGGAUUCGAGGGGAGAAAUUACUAUUCAGAAUAAUAGCAUUGAAAUUAAAUCAGUGACAGCAGAAGAUUCUGGAACGUUUAACUUCUAUGACCAACAAGGCAACCUGGCAAUGUCUGUUAAGCUGGAUGUUGACUCUGGAUCUAAUCACCUAG
This is a long non-coding RNA of Cyprinodon tularosa, 405 nucleotides long. RefSeq lists it as uncharacterized. The transcript is spliced from 3 exons. The record is from RefSeq and is a predicted model, not a curated record. Lineage: Eukaryota; Metazoa; Chordata; Actinopteri; Cyprinodontiformes; Cyprinodontidae.